Molecule: transfer RNA, 63 nt
Filed under: Rattus norvegicus (Norway rat)
Lineage: Eukaryota; Metazoa; Chordata; Mammalia; Rodentia; Muridae
Rfam family: tRNA
About the family: Transfer RNA (tRNA) molecules are approximately 80 nucleotides in length. Their secondary structure includes four short double-helical elements and three loops (D, anti-codon, and T loops).
Source: Rfam by way of RNAcentral
GGGGAUUUAGCUCAGUGGUAGAGCACUUGCCUAGUAAGCACAAGGCCCUGGGUUCAGUCCCCA